RNAcentral lists this ribosomal RNA (468 nucleotides) under uncultured bacterium. RNAcentral's name for it is "partial 16S ribosomal RNA". It matches the Rfam family "Bacterial small subunit ribosomal RNA", at positions 28 to 507 of the family's 1533-position model. The record is from RNAcentral.
GAUGAACGCUGGCGGCGUGCUUAACACAUGCAAGUCGAACGGUGAAGGCGGAGCUUGCUCUGCUGGAUCAGUGGCGAACGGGUGAGUAACGCGUGAGCAAUCUGCCCCUGACUCUGGGAUAAGCGCUGGAAACGGCGUCUAAUACUGGAUACGAGCUGCGAGGGCAUCUUCAGCAGCUGGAAAGAAUUUCGGUCAGGGAUGAGCUCGCGGCCUACCAGCUUGUUGGUGAGGUAAUGGCUCACCAAGGCGUCGACGGGUAGCCGGCCUGAGAGGGUGACCGGCCACACUGGGACUGAGACACGGCCCAGACUCCUACGGGAGGCAGCAGUGGGGAAUAUUGCACAAUGGGCGAAAGCCUGAUGCAGCAACGCCGCGUGAGGGACGACGGCCCUCGGGUUGUAAACCUCUUUUAGCAGGGAAGAAGCGAAAGUGACGGUACCUGCAGAAAAAGCGCCGGCUAACUACGUG